UCCUCGAUAGCUCAGUCGGUAGAGCGCCGGACUGUUAAUCCGCAGGUCCCUGGUUCGAGUCCAGGUCGGGGAG
Molecule: non-coding RNA, 73 nt
Organism: Acidovorax sp. SCN 68-22
Lineage: Bacteria; Pseudomonadati; Pseudomonadota; Betaproteobacteria; Burkholderiales; Comamonadaceae
Source: Rfam